CAUCAGCCGCGGGAAUACAGAGGGUGCGAGCGUUAAUCGGAUUUACUGGGCGUAAAGCGUGCGUAGGCGGCUUUUUAAGUCGGAUGUGAAAUCCCUGAGCUUAACUUAGGAAUUGCAUUCGAUACUGGGAAGCUAGAGUAUGGGAGAGGAUGGUAGAAUUCCAGGUGUAGCGGUGAAAUGCGUAGAGAUCUGGAGGAAUACCGAUGGCGAAGGCAGCCAUCUGGCCUAAUACUGACGCUGAGGUACGAAAGCAUGGGGAGCAAACAGGAUUAGAUACCCCUGUAGUCCCUGUCUCUUAUAU
Molecule: ribosomal RNA, 301 nt
Filed under: uncultured bacterium
Lineage: Bacteria
Description: partial 16S ribosomal RNA
Rfam family: Bacterial small subunit ribosomal RNA
Source: RNAcentral